This 492-nucleotide ribosomal RNA is filed under the name uncultured bacterium. RNAcentral describes it as "partial 16S ribosomal RNA". It matches the Rfam family "Bacterial small subunit ribosomal RNA", at positions 29 to 507 of the family's 1533-position model. The record is from RNAcentral.
AGUGAACGCUGGCGGCAGGCCUAACACAUGCAAGUCGAGCGGAAGAACGGUGAGAGCUCGCUUAUGCGGGUGGCGACGGGCGGGUGAGUAAGAAGUACAUAGCAAUCUUAUAUGACGGGGGUGAUUACGGGGGAACAGAUACGCUAAUAGUGCAUAUGAUGAACGGGAGGGAUCAGGGGAUCUAAGGAGUUUGGGUGACACUAAGAGACGACGUCGGAUUAGCUAGUUGGUGGGGUAAAGGCCCACCAAGGCGACGAUCCGUAGCGGGGCUGAGAGGAUGAUCAGCCACACUGGAACUGAGACACGGUCCAGACUCCUACGGGAGGCAGCAGUGGGGAAUAUUGGACAAUGGGCGAAAGCCUGAUCCAGCCAUGCCGCGUGAGUGAAGAAGGUCUUCGGAUUGUAAAGCCCUUUUAUUAGGGAAGAAAAGCAGUAGGUUAAUCCCUCGCUGUUUUGACGGUACCCAAAGAAUAAGCAACGGCUAACUUCGUG